UUCUACGGCCAUGCCACCCUGAACAUACCCGAUCUCGUCUGAUCUUGGAAGCUAAGCAGGGUCAGGCCUGGUUAGUACUUUGGUAGGAGACCACCUAGGAAUACCAGGCGCUAUGGUGU
Molecule: ribosomal RNA, 119 nt
Filed under: Pteropus alecto (black flying fox)
Lineage: Eukaryota; Metazoa; Chordata; Mammalia; Chiroptera; Pteropodidae
Source: RNAcentral